RNAcentral lists this ribosomal RNA (229 nucleotides) under uncultured bacterium. RNAcentral's name for it is "partial 16S ribosomal RNA". It matches the Rfam family "Bacterial small subunit ribosomal RNA", at positions 568 to 796 of the family's 1533-position model. The record is from RNAcentral.
UGCGUAGGCGGAAUGAUAAGUUAGUGGUGAAAGCCCCCGGCUCAACCGGGGAACUGCCAUUAAUACUGUCAUUCUUGAGUAUAGUUGAAGUGGGCGGAAUGUAUCAUGUAGCGGUGAAAUGCUUAGAUAUGAUACAGAACACCGAUAGCGUAGGCAGCUUGCUAAACUAUAACUGACGCUCAGGCACGAAAGCGUGGGGAGCAAACAGGAUUAGAUACCCGCGUAGUCC